AAGUUUUAGGCCAGUUCCAUCUUUCAUUGUUAAUAAUUCUUGAAUUACUCCUUUUCCAAAUGUUGUCGUUCCUACAAUUUUAGCAACAUUAUUAUCUUUUAAUGCUCCUGCCAAUAUUUCUGAUGCACUAGCUGUAUUUUCAUUUGUUAAAACUAUUAUAGGUAAUUCAAUUGCUUUAUCUCUUUUAGCUUUUGAAACGCUUUCAUUGUCGUGUUUAUCUUUAGUUAUUAAUAGUGUACUAUCUUUGCUAGUAAAUAGAUCUGCUAUUUCUAUAGCUUCAUCUACAAUACCUCCACCAUUAUUUCUUA
This 308-nucleotide non-coding RNA is filed under the name human gut metagenome. The record is from RNAcentral.